Molecule: transfer RNA, 76 nt
Filed under: Clostridiales bacterium
Lineage: Bacteria; Bacillati; Bacillota; Clostridia; Eubacteriales
Also listed under: 1 other name
Description: tRNA-Lys
Rfam family: tRNA
About the family: Transfer RNA (tRNA) molecules are approximately 80 nucleotides in length. Their secondary structure includes four short double-helical elements and three loops (D, anti-codon, and T loops). Further hydrogen bonds mediate the characteristic L-shaped molecular structure. tRNAs have two regions of fundamental functional importance: the anti-codon, which is responsible for specific mRNA codon recognition, and the 3' end, to which the tRNAs corresponding amino acid is attached (by aminoacyl-tRNA synthetases). tRNAs cope with the degeneracy of the genetic code in two manners: having more than one tRNA (with a specific anti-codon) for a particular amino acid; and 'wobble' base-pairing, i.e. permitting non-standard base-pairing at the 3rd anti-codon position.
Source: RNAcentral
GGUCCAUUAGCUCAGUUGGCAGAGCACGUGACUUUUAAUCACGGUGUCCCGGGUUCGAGUCUCGGAUGGAUCACCA